CACUCCUGCGGGAGGCAGCAGUGGGGAAUUUUGGACCAUGGGCGAAAGCCUGAUCCAGCAAUGCCGCGUGAGUGAAGAAGGCCUUCGGGUUGUAAAGCUCUUUUGUCAGGGAAGACACGGUGAAAGCUAAUAUCUUUUGCUAAUGACGGUACCUGAAGAAUAAGCACCGGCUAACUACGUGCCAGCAGCCGCGGUAAUACGUAGGGUGCAAGCGUUAAUCGGAAUUACUGGGCGUAAAGCGUGCGCAGGCGGUUUUGUAAGUCUGAUGUGAAAUCCCCGGGCUCAACCUGGGAAUUGCAUUGGAGACUGCAAGGCUAGAAUCUGGCAGAGGGGGGUAGAAUUCCACGUGUAGCAGUGAAAUGCGUAGAUAUGUGGAGGAACACCGAUGGCGAAGGCAGCCCCCUGGGUCAAGAUUGACGCUCAUGCACGAAAGCGUGGGGAGCAAACAGGAUUAGAAACCCGUGUAGUCCCAUGA
Molecule: ribosomal RNA, 475 nt
Filed under: uncultured organism
Description: partial 16S ribosomal RNA
Rfam family: Bacterial small subunit ribosomal RNA
Source: RNAcentral